UUUUUCUAGAUUAUAAACCAAAAGCUCAUUUAUAUCUUCGUCGUCUUCUAUUACAUAAACAAGAGGCAUUUUUAACCUUUUCACAAUUUUUUAUCGGGUCCUUCCGAAUAGGAGCCGGUGAACCCCGCCAGGCCCGGAAGGGAGCAACGGUAAGCCGAGCUUCCUAUGUCGGAAGGUAACCCGAUAAAAAAUUGUGAAAAGGUUAAAAAUGCCUCUUGUUUAUGUAAUAGAAGACGACGAAGA
This 243-nucleotide signal recognition particle RNA is filed under the name Hydrogenothermus sp. RNAcentral describes it as "signal recognition particle sRNA large type". The stretch from base 38 to 240 matches the Rfam family "Bacterial large signal recognition particle RNA". Rfam says of the family: The signal recognition particle (SRP) is a universally conserved ribonucleoprotein involved in the co-translational targeting of proteins to membranes. Archaeal SRP consists of a 7S RNA and homologues of the eukaryotic SRP19 and SRP54 proteins. The record is from RNAcentral. Lineage: Bacteria; Pseudomonadati; Aquificota; Aquificia; Aquificales; Hydrogenothermaceae.